AUGUAAACAAAGGCAUGCCCCUACUUCAGAAAAUAUCCAGUUAUUAUUUUAAUAAUUGCGAAUAAGCCACAAACUUGCUUAUUCCUACCUAAAAUAGUAAAUAGAGAUAAUAACAAACGGAUUAUUUGUAAAAUUAAAUUUUUUUUUGCGUUUUUGCUAAUGUAUGCGUUUAUAAACAGGAUGGUAGACCACACACUAUAAUAGUACCAACUAAUGAAUACACAGUAUGAAUAGUAUAGUCGGUUCGCUAAACUUAGUCUCAGACACAACUGGCUAGUGAUUUUAGUAAAUAAUUUUGACAAUUUCGUAAAAUUGGCAAAAAAAUAAUAACUAAAUAGUUAGUAAUUUUGGCAAAAAUGGCCAAAAACAAAAAAAUUACCUACUAAAAUCACUAGCCAGUUGUGGCUAGGGAAACGACUAUACUAAUAAACAAUUUCUAAGCUGCUUUUUAUAAUAUUUUGUGAGUUCAUUAAUCAUAUUUUUUAUUUAAAACUAAAAUUUGUUAAUAAUGCUCAGUAAUGCAUAUAUUUUGUAUUUUUAGCUUUCCAGAAGAUCCUGCGAAGAAGGCAUGAAGUAUUGAUCAGAUUUGUUAAUAGAGCAGUAUGUUCAAAACAUUUUUUAGAAAAAGAUAUUGACAGAACUUCACUUUCAACUGUUCGUUUGAGAGACUGUGCUGUUCCAAUAGCUUAUAUCACACAGAAUCAGCUGAGAGAAGUGGUCUACAAAAAACCAGGAAGGAAAUGGAAUAUGUGGCUAUGAAAGGCAAAAGAAAGGUUUACAAAGCAAAUGUGACACAUUUUUUUAUAGGAAUAUCAGUAAAUUACAUUAAAAAAAUGUAUGAAAAGAUUUUUUGCAAUAAAAAUGUUUAUAUUUA
RNAcentral lists this long non-coding RNA (874 nucleotides) under Diabrotica virgifera virgifera (western corn rootworm). RNAcentral's name for it is "uncharacterized LOC126883880". The record is from RNAcentral. Lineage: Eukaryota; Metazoa; Arthropoda; Insecta; Coleoptera; Chrysomelidae.